Molecule: ribosomal RNA, 443 nt
Filed under: uncultured bacterium
Lineage: Bacteria
Description: partial 16S ribosomal RNA
Rfam family: Bacterial small subunit ribosomal RNA
Source: RNAcentral
CCUACGGGUGGCUGCAGUGGGGAAUAUUGCACAAUGGGCGAAAGCCUGAUGCAGCAACGCCGCGUGAAGGACGAAGGGUUUCAGCUCGUAAACUUCUAUCAACAGGGACGAAAGAACUGACGGUACCUGAAUAAGAAGCCCCGGCUACCUACGUGCCAGCAGCCGCGGUAAUCCGUAGGAGGCAAGCGUUAUACGGAAUUACUGGGUGUAAAGGGUGAGUAGGCGGCAUGGUAAGCCCGAUGUGAAAGCCUUGGGCUUAACCCGAGGAUUGCAUUUGAAACUAUCAAGCUAGAGUACAGGAGAGGAAUGCGGAAUUCCUAGUGUAGCGGUGAAAUGCGUAGAUAUUAGGAAGAACACCAGUGGCGAAGGCGGCUUUCUGGCCUGAAACUGACGCUGAGGUACGAAAGCGUGGGGAGCGAACAGGAUUAGAUACCCCUGUAGUC